AACUUUCAACAACGGAUCUCUUGGUUCUGGCAUCGAUGAAGAACGCAGCGAAAUGCGAUAAGUAAUGUGAAUUGCACAAUUCAGUGAAUCAUCGAAUCUUUGAACGCACAUUGCGCCCCUCGGUAUUCCGGGGGGCAUGCCUGUUCGAGCGUCAUUA
RNAcentral lists this ribosomal RNA (157 nucleotides) under Cladonia foliacea. RNAcentral's name for it is "5.8S ribosomal RNA". It matches the Rfam family "5.8S ribosomal RNA". From Rfam's summary of the family: 5.8S ribosomal RNA (5.8S rRNA) is a component of the large subunit of the eukaryotic ribosome. Lineage: Eukaryota; Fungi; Ascomycota; Lecanoromycetes; Lecanorales; Cladoniaceae. The record is from RNAcentral.